Molecule: ribosomal RNA, 142 nt
Filed under: uncultured bacterium
Lineage: Bacteria
Description: partial 16S ribosomal RNA
Rfam family: Bacterial small subunit ribosomal RNA
Source: RNAcentral
GGGUGGUGUAAGAUGGACCCGCGUCUGAUUAGCUAGUUGGUGAGGUAACGGCCCACCAAGGCGACGAUCAGUAGCCGGCCUGAGAGGGUGGACGGCCACAUUGGGACUGAGACACGGCCCAAACUCCUACGGGAGGCAGCAG